Molecule: transfer RNA, 58 nt
Filed under: Dipodomys ordii (Ord's kangaroo rat)
Lineage: Eukaryota; Metazoa; Chordata; Mammalia; Rodentia; Heteromyidae
Rfam family: tRNA
About the family: Transfer RNA (tRNA) molecules are approximately 80 nucleotides in length.
Source: Rfam by way of RNAcentral
UGGCUCAGUGGUAGAGCACUUGGCUUGCAUGCAUGAGGCCCUGGGUUCGAUUCCCCAG